CCUACGGGAGGCAGCAGUGGGGAAUAUUGCACAAUGGGGGAAACCCUGAUGCAGCGACGCCGCGUGAGUGAAGAAGUAUUUCGGUAUGUAAAGCUCUAUCAGCAGGGAAGAAAAUGCCGGUACCUGCCUACGAAGCGCCUGCUAACUACGUGCCAGCAGCCGCGGUAAUUCGUAGGGGGCAAGCGGUUUCCGGAUUUACUGGGGGUAAAGGGAGCGUAGACGGCCAGACAAGUCAGAAGGGAAAGCCCAGGGCUCAACCCCGUGACUGCUGUUGAAACUGCCGGGCUGGAGUGCAGGAGAGGUAAGCGGAAUGCCUAGUGUAGCGGUGAAAUGCGUAGAUAUUAGGAGGAACACCAGUGGCGAAGGCGGCUUACUGGACUGUAACUGACGUUGAGGCUCGAAAGCGUGGGGAGCAAACAGGAUUAGAUACCCGUGUAGUC
RNAcentral lists this ribosomal RNA (440 nucleotides) under uncultured bacterium. Its description in RNAcentral is "partial 16S ribosomal RNA". It matches the Rfam family "Bacterial small subunit ribosomal RNA", at positions 338 to 795 of the family's 1533-position model. The record is from RNAcentral.